RNAcentral lists this ribosomal RNA (512 nucleotides) under uncultured bacterium. RNAcentral describes it as "partial 16S ribosomal RNA". It matches the Rfam family "Bacterial small subunit ribosomal RNA", at positions 28 to 507 of the family's 1533-position model. The record is from RNAcentral.
GACGAACGCUGGCGGCGUGCCUAAUACAUGCAAGUCGAGCGAGCGGAUCUAACAGAUUUACUUCGGUAAUGACGUUAGGAAAGCGAGCGGCGGAUGGGUGAGUAACACGUGGGGAACCUGCCCCAUAGUCUGGGAUACCACUUGGAAACAGGUGCUAAUACCGGAUAAGAAAGCAGAUCGCAUGAUCAGCUUUUAAAAGGCGGCGUAAGCUGUCGCUAUGGGAUGGCCCGGCGGUGCAUUAGCUAGUUGGUAAGGUAAAGGCUUACCAAGGCGAUGAUGCAUAGCCGGUUUGAGAGACUGAUCGGCCACAUUGGGACUGAGACACGGCCCAAACUCCUACGGGAGGCAGCAGUAGGGAAUCUUCCACAAUGGACGCAAGUCUGAUGGAGCAACGCCGCGUGAGUGAAGAAGGUUUUCGGAUCGUAAAGCUCUGUUGUUGGUGAAGAAGGAUAGAGGUAGUAACUGGCCUUUAUUUGACGUUAAUCAACCAGAAAGUCACGGCUAACUACGUG